UUCAAUACCGGCCAAAAUUAAAAAAAGAGAUGUAUGGCUGAGGGGAGGAGAGAAAGAACGCAUGCAUGGGGAUUCUGUCGGAGGUUCGAUAAUCUAUGAUAGGACAUCAUAGGCUAAGGAAGAAUGAAAGGAAGAGCAUGGGGAUUCUGUCGGAGGUUCGAUAAUCUAUGAUAGGACAUCAUAGGCUAAGGAAGAAUGAAAGGAAGUCCAUUACUGAGAGAAGUGGUGAUCUCGUCUUGCUUGCUGGGAGAGAGAAAGCUUC
Molecule: long non-coding RNA, 262 nt
Filed under: Lathyrus oleraceus (garden pea)
Lineage: Eukaryota; Viridiplantae; Streptophyta; Magnoliopsida; Fabales; Fabaceae
Description: Pisum sativum (pea) long non-coding RNA (PSAT_LNC038542)
Source: RNAcentral